Molecule: long non-coding RNA, 4371 nt
Filed under: Zostera marina
Lineage: Eukaryota; Viridiplantae; Streptophyta; Magnoliopsida; Alismatales; Zosteraceae
Description: long non-coding RNA (ZMAR_LNC001295)
Source: RNAcentral
GUAAUUUUGCUCAUUUUUCGUCAUUAGUUAAUUCUGAUAGGCAGCUUCUACAGGUAGAUAGCUGUCAGUUAUAGGUGUAAUGUUAUUCUGUCAUUUUAUCUCGAAAUCUGUUUUAAGCUUGUUUCUUCUUCCUCCUGGGUUGUCGUUCUCGGAUUCUUCUCUUCGUUUUCUUCUUCUCUUCUGUUUUUUUUUAAUUUGUUCUUGGUUUAUUUUUUUCAUUCUAUGUUUACUCGAUUUUGGAUUUGUUCUCCGAUAUCUUCUGGGUUUUUUCAUCCUUUUGGGUUUGUUCCGAUUUGUUUUCCGAUUGGGUUUCUCCGAUUUCCUGGUUGUUCGUCUUCGUUCUGAGAUUCAUGCCUUUUAUCUUGAGUUUCUGUUUUUUUUCUUCUAUUCUUUGUAUUUGAUGCGGUUUUCUUUUUCCUGGCUUUCUUCGGCCUGGCUUUUGGCUGCUACUGGUUUUCUUUUUCCUGAGAUUUCUUCAUCUGCUUUCGUUUUUGUUACUUUUCUAUUAGUUUUUCUUUUUUUUUUUUUUGGAUUUGUUCUUCGUUUUUCUUUUCAUUCUAUAUUUACUCGAUUUUGGAUUAGUUCUCCGAUUCCUUCUGGGUUUAUUCAUCCUUUUGAGUUUCCGAUUCUUUCUUAAUUUAUUUCAUUCAUUCUCCGAUUGGGUUUCUCCGAUUUGCUAGUUGUUCGUCUUCGUUCUGGGUUUUAUACCUUUUUAUCUUUAGUUCCUAUUUUUUUCUUCUUUUCUUUGUUUUUGUUCCGGCUUUCUUUGUUCUGGCUUUCUUUGUUUUUGUUCCGGCUACUGAUUUUCUUUGUCCUCUGAUUUCUUCAUCUGCUUCUUUCUGGGUUUCUUGAGCAACUAAUUUCUGCUUCUUUCUGCGUUCCACUUCUGCUUCUUUCUGGGUUUCUUGAGCAACUAAUUUCUGCUUCGUUCUGGGUUUCAUGAGCAACUAAUUUCUGCUUCUUUCUGUGUUCCAUCACCUAUAUUCGAUCGUAUUCCGGUAGAUAAUUAACUGGUUAUUUUUUCGUCCGGAGUUCCGGCAUGAAUUGGGUUCAUUCGCCCAGAAUUGGGUUCAUGCGGCAGAUAAUUAACUGGAAUUAUAUUCAUUGUCAGAUUAUUGAUCUCGAGAUUAAUUUUUCCCAGCGUAUAACAAUACCAAUUUUGUUGAAAUGUUGGAAUUAAGAUAAUGUUGGAAUGAAAAUAAUGUUGGAAUGAAGAUGACGUUGGAAUGAAGAUACCGAAUGAGUCAUGGAUGAGAUAUUAUUUACGGUAUUUUUCUUAUUGAUACAAGUUUCAAAGAAGAUGGGCCUCAGGCCUAUUGAUUUUUUUAAAAUCAAAAAAGUAAUUCAAGAAGUAAAUCUAGAUAAACAAAUUACAUCAUGUAACCUUUGAUUUUCAAAGAUUUCUCAGAGGGAUGUAUUAAGAAGCUUUGUGUAGAAACUUAGAACUUUAGGAUUCGCUUUAAUUUUUUCUGGACUAAACCCAUCAACACGAAGAUCUUGAAUUGUGGUAACACGAGAUAGUGCGACGUAAACCAUUUCUGAUCCAAAUGCUCUAGUCAGGUCGGUACUAAGACGAUCAAAUAGCCUUAACUUCGUUUGCUUCGACAAUGUCCCAUUUUUCAACCUCCAGUGAAACUUCUAAUCCUGAAUCAAAUCUAACUAUGGGCACUAAACCAUUUACAUUGUUUUCAAAUGAUGGUAACGAACCUGUUUUAAAUCUUGUUACUACUCCGGUUGCGCCGUUGUCUAGUCCGAUUGCCUGAUCUGUGCUCUUGAUCAGCAUUACCCUAGCUCCCUCGCAGACUUCCAAUUCAUCAGGUGCUAUCUGAUAUUUCAAUUGUUUUAACCAUGGCAUUUAACCUUUAUCGACAGCUUUGAACCUCUCUACCUCUUUUCCUAGACUUCAAAGAUGUUCCUGGUUCACUUUUCGCACAUCAUCGGUUCUCGGAAAUAGUAUGGUUUUUGUUUGAUUAUCGUCAGUAACAUUGUUCAAUGAUGUGGUGCCAUUGAGGAAUCUUAUGAAGUUUGUGUUAUCCCGAUCGACCUGGCCACGACGGAUACCCUCAAGGAAAUCGAUGAGUUCGGAAUUCGACUGACGGUAGACAUGAGUUAAUUCCAUCUGGAUGUCAAAGGUAGCUUCCUAGCAAGAUGACUCAAAAGCAAACUCAUUUCGAGGAUUGUGAGCAUUGAUAGGAGGGAGUUGAAAAAAAUCACCACUCACUAUCAGUUGAAUACCUCCCCAUAGUAACUAUUUAUCUCCUUUGCAAUCUGAAUUUCUAAGAGUGCUUGACAGGAACUCAAGAUUAUCAAAGAGCUCUCCAUCGAUCAUACUGAUCUCGUCUAUAACAAGUGUCUUAGCUUGCUUCGGAUCCACAGUUCUACCGCUUUAUUACUUUUUAAGACGAAGUUGACAAGUUUAGUUUUGGUUCCUUUCCCUAACCCGACGCCUGCAAAUGAGUACAAAGUUUGUCCACCAAGUGCUCACGCUGCUACGCCGGUGGAGGCGGUCACGAAAACAGAGUUCGGAGGAUGAAUUUGUCGAAGCGUUGAAACAGCGUGCUUCAACAGGAAACUCUUACCAGUACCGACUGAACCUGUAAUAAAAACUGAUCGGCCGGCGGCGAUCGCUGCGAUUAUAUGUUGUUGCUGUAGACUCAGAUUUAUAUCGGAACCAAAGUUCACAGAGGAUCUCGGGACCUCUUCUUCAAGGAAAUAUUCUUCAACUCCAUCGCUGAUUGACAAUCGAAAUGGGUUCUUGAGGUAUAGGAAUGGGUUAUCGCUGACUGAUCGAAAUGACUUCUUGAGGUAUCGAAAUGGGUUAUCGAUUUUAAUAGCUCAUCUGAGUGUCGACAUUGGGGGAUCAAUAGGUGAUGACCAAAAAACCCCAAAAAGAUAGUAAUCGGAUAAGAUUUACUAAUCGGGCGAAUAAUUACAACCCGAUAAUGUGAAAAAAAUUUAAUCCCUAAUUUCAGAAUGCUAUUUAACCGAAAUAAAAUCGUCGAAACCCUAUUUUCGUUUAAUACUUACUUUCGAAUAGGUAUUGUCCGUGACAGGCGAUCUCGUAUCAGGGAUCUUGUAAAAGGCGAUCUCUUAUGGAUUAGUUCUCCUAUAACUCCGGGUUUUAUUCAUCCGUUUAAUUUUCAAAUUCUUUUUUAAUACAAUUCAUCGUUCUACGAUUUGUUCUCCGAUUUCCGGGUUGUUUGUCUUCGUUCUGGGUUUUAUACCUGUUUUUCUUGAGUUUCUGUUUUUUUUCGUUUGUCUUUGAUGUUGUUCGGCUUUCUUUGUCCUCGGUUUCUUUGUCCUGACUUUAGGCUGCAACUGCUUUUCUAUGUCGUUAGAUUUCUUCAUCUGCUUUCAUUUAUACUUCGGAGUAUAUUCGAUCGUAGUAAACAGAUAAUUAACUGGUUAUUUUUUCGUCCGGAGGAUUUACUAAUCGGUCGAAUAAUUACAACCCGAUAAUGUGAAAAAUAUUUAUCCCUAAUUUUAGAAUCAUAUUUGAAACCCUAUUUUCGUUUGAUCCUUACUUUCAAAUUGCUAUUGACCGUCACAAGAGAUUUCGUAACAGGCGGUCUUGUAAAAGGCGAUCUAUAAUGGAUUAGUUCUGGGAUUCCUCCGGGAUUUAUUCAUUUGUUUGAGUUUCAAAUUCUUUCUUACUUUAAUUCAUUCGUACUAAAGAUUUGUUCUACCAUUAAGUUUCUCCGAUUUGCGGGUUGUUUGUCUUCGUUCUGGGUUUUAUACCUUUUUAUCUUGAGUUUCUGUUUUUCUUUUCUUUGUUGUUGUUCCGGCUUUGUCUGUCCUGGCUUUCUUUGUCCGCGGCUUUUGGCUGCUACUGGUUUUCUUUCAUCUGCUUUCGUUUCCGCUUCUUCAUGCGUUUCAUUACGUAUUGAUUUAUUAACAACUGAUUUUUUCUAUCACGUAUGUUUCCUAAAAGUUAGUUAUAUUUUUUCAACAAUAUAUUAACUGUCGCCAUUUACAUCUUUCAAAACUUCUACUAUUUCUGCAGAUGACCAAUCUGGAAAUGGAAAGUUAUCAUGACUACAAGAGACAGAUCAAACAGUGUUCUGCAGGUGCCGUCAAAACGAGUUGUUGUUAAUCGUGAGGAUCUUCUUAAAAAAUGUGCAUAUUCUUUGAAAAAAAAACGAAAGAUUCUGCGCAUUAAUAAGAGGUUUAUUGCUAGAAUUACUCUCUCUAUUUAAUACACGUUAAUGGAUUUUACAUCUGUAAAACCAGUAUCAUGAUUCUAUAAAAAUCUGACAUUGGAUUUAAUAUUGUAUUAAAAUCUGAUGACACUCUGGCCGACAUUGAAUCGAUUUGACAAUAUGACAAGUUUAGUUUUAUAUUUUAUUAAUUUUUUACAUAUAUCUAGAAGAA